AUGGAGUUUUUUUCCUGUAGUGCGAUCUUGCAGCAGCAGGUGAAUUUCACUAAGCGCAAGAAAAAGAAGAAACCGCAAGUACAGCAGCAGCAAGCCGGGUCUAUGUUGCAGCGGGGUUACCAGUAUCCACAACAGUAUGCACUGCCUCAGCAGCAGUUUCAGAACCAGUUGGCACCGCAACAGUUUACUCAACCACAGUAUGUCACGACUGACAAGAGGAGCCACGACAGCGACGAGGUAGAGGGCCCAGCGGCCAGGGAAAUCAGCGAAUCCGCCAAGGGGGAAGCGCUUACGACUGGGACCGGGCGGUCAGCGAGACAUAAGCGAGAAGCUGCCCAUCUCCUUCCUCUCCAAGUUUUCCCCACCUACUUCCCUUCCUUCCUCCUGGAUCUAGAUCGGACCCCUAACAAUUGGUAUCAGAGGUCAGCAGCAGACCUGGAGACGGCAUACCCUCGCCCGCGCUACACCACCAAGAGGGGCGCGCCGCCAACGACGCCAAGUUGGAGGCGAUCCAGCAGUCCUUGGAGCUCUGGCGCUGGGCGGUUCAAAAUCUUCAAGGCCAACUCGACGAACUCUGCACACAAGUGGGCAGGAUCGCGAUCCACCCCGCGCUCGCGGAUUCAGCACCAUCCACGGUGGUGCAGCAAGUGCCACCGCCGCCGCCGGCCCUUGAAUCGGGGCACCACGGGCCAAGUGGCCACGGCGGGAUCGACAACUCCUUGGGAUCGAGAGAUGUGGGUGAAGGUUGCAACUCUCCAUUUCACAGGCAAUACAGCUCGAUGGCUGCAGUUGCAUGAGGCUAGUGACACAACAUUUAGUUGGGAGGAGCUUUGUGUGGCGGUGAGCGAAAAAUUCGGCCGCGAUCAGUACCAAGCACAACUCAGGCAAUUUGCCGAUCUGUCCCAGACUAGCAUAGUCACGGACUACAUGAACCGCUUUGAGGAGUUGAUGCAUAAUUUGUUAGCUCACAACUCAGGAUUUGAUCUAGAAGAGUUGCUGGAGACGAUGCGUCGAUGUGAUUACAGGUGUUCGGAACCCCCUCCCGCGCGGGUCCAGCAGCGGCCGUUGUUCGCCCCGGCAGCGCCACUCCCUCGAGUGCUGCCACCUGCACCUCGAGAAGCAGCUGAAGACAGGCGUGGUCUGGAUGCAGCCCGAGCUGCCGAUCGAUGUCAAGACCCAGGCAGGGGGGACGACGAUGUAGCAGCGUUGCGAAAAUAUCGCCGUGCACGCGGUCUUUGUUUCAAAUGUGGAGAGCGCUGGGGGCAAGGGCACCAGUGCGCUGCCAUGGUCCAACUCCACAUUGUGGAAGAGUUGAUGGAAUUAUUACAAGCAGAGGUGGAUGAUCAAGAGCAGGCAGUAGCAGUGGAAGAGGAAGAACAGCUUAUGUCGAUCUCUAAAUUGGCCACAACUGGACAGACCACCCCCCAGACAGUUCGUCAGCUUGGAUCCAUUGAUGGACAUGAGGUGUUGAUCUUGGUGGACUCAGGAAGCUCCCACAACUUUAUCAGUGAUGCAGUGGCAGCAAAAUUUUCUGACAGAGUCUGUGCAAUCAAACAAGUGUCAGUUAAGGUGGCGGAUGGGGUCCUUCUCUCUUACUUUGGUUAUAUUCCGCAGUGCCAAUGGACAACCCAACACCAGAAGUUUACCACUGAUCUGAGAAUACUGUCCCUGGGUUGUUAUGAUAUGGUCAUUGGGAUGGAUUGGUUGGAGAGUUGUGGACCAAUGCUCGUAGACUGGGUAGAGAAAACAUUGCAAUCCACUCAUCAGGGGCAGAGGAUUCAGUUAACUGGGCUGCACAGCGAAGUGGAGCAAAUAGCACAAAUUUCAGUGGCUCUAUUGGAGGAAAUGGAACAGACCAACUCAGUGGUGUGUGUGGUGAUGCUAUGCGCGGCAGAACAGGAAAAUGAUCCAGACACCAGAGACUUGAUGACUCGUCUGGCUCUUGAUCCAACAAGCGAACCAGAUUUCAAGCUGGCAGGUGGAAUUCUGCGCUUCAAGGGGCGAGUCUGGCUAGCGGCUAACAAGGAAACACAACUACAUGUGAUCCGAGCGCUGCAUGCAAGUGCGACUGGUGGCCAUUCUGGAUUCCACGCAACCUACAAUCGAGUCAACCGUUUGUUUGCUUGGAAGGGGAUGAAGCAACAAGUCAAGGAGCUACAACAGUUGAAACAAGCUCAAGACCGCAUGAAAAAACAGGUUGAUCGUCACCGGACUGAGCGGUCCUUCGAAGUUGGAGACUCUGUUCUUCUCAAGCUCCAGCCAUUCAUUCAAACAUCAAUUGCCCGUUGGCCCUUCCAGAAGUUGGCAUUUCGAUACUAUGGACCAUACACCAUUCAGGCCAAAGUGGGCGCUGUGGCUUACCGUCUAAACCUGCCACCAACCAGCAAGAUUCACCCUGUGGUGCACGUAUCCCUUCUCAAGCGUGCAGUUGGGGCAAAACAUUCGCCCGGUGGUGUGAUCGACAAGAAGCUGGUUCGAGUGGACGGCACCUUCAAACCACGUGUGCUGAUCAAAUGGAGCGAUCUACCUGCAGACCUAGCGACGUGGGAAGACCCAAUCAAGCUACAACAGCGGUAUCCAACAACACCGCCUUGGGGGCAAGGCGGUCCUCAAGGAGGGGAGAAUGUCACGACUGACAAGAGGAGCCAUGACACUACUGCCACGGGCUCGACGGUGCUGCUCUGCCUCUGCUACCUCAACUGCGACGCCGAUGGUUCAAUCACGGCUGGAUACAACAACAACCGCGGCCACUCUCAACAUGGUGGCUUCCAUUAUUCUGUUUGGGAUUUGGUGCCCCAGAUUCUUAAACGUUCCACUUGUGCAUGGGUGACAAUUAGAUUGAUCUCUUUUCCAGCACGUUUAUCCCAUAUAUUUGAUAUCUCUCUCCCAGCAGGGGGGGGUCUUGUUGUAGUGGAGGGCCCAGCGACCAGGGAAAUCAGAGAAUCCGCCAAGCGGGAAGCGCUUACGACUGGGACCGGGCGGCCAGCGAGACAUCGGACCCCUAACACCCAGGGACAGGUACAAGAUGCUCACUUGGAUGCACCGUCUAGCUUGGCUCCUAUGGCUAAUUCACAGGGUGAUUCGCCCGCGGCCAAGGGUAAAGCUAAAAAAGAUUGGUCGAUGUUGAGGUGCCCCAUUCUUAAGCUCCCUAGGCCCAAUAUUUUCGUGUCUGGAUUGGAUGCUGAAGAGACUUAUUUUGCUCAGUUACCGGAUAGUGUGGUGAAGGAUCACUUGGCCCCAACUCAGACUCCUAUCGCCUGUGUUCGAGUUACUGUCCAGACCCAGUGGAGGUGGGAGGCUAUUCAGCAUGGUGAGGAUGCCUACCUUGUUAGUUUUCCCUCUUUUGUGGAUUUGGACAGAGUUGACGGUAUUCAGAUGAAUGUGCAAUCAGUUAAUGCUCUCCAGCAGAUUUGGCUACAUAUUGACGGGGUUCCCCAUAUCGUGCACCAUUUUUGGGGUCUAUGGGCUAUUGGUAAGUUGAUUGGCAAGACCCUGGAUGUCGACCUCAUUAGUUUGCGACGACGUGGGGUGGUCCGUAUUCUUGUGGCUAUGACGAACACUUGGAUUUUGGCAAAGAACAAGGAUGAUGUCGGGCCGUUUGUUGCAAUGGAUGUGGUGGUUAAGCUCAAGGGCUAUGCAUAUAGGUUCAGGAGAGAAGCGACAAGUUAUGUUCCGGAUCUGGACUUUGUACCGUUCAUUUGGAGACGCAAGGGUGAUGAUACUGACGAUGAUGGCGGUGCGAAGGAGAAGGACGAUGACAUGGACACAUUGGAUAACUCCGGAAACCCAUCCAAGCAACCUUCGUCUAAUGCUGCUCCUACAAAUGACACUCAUGCAAACAUGGUCUCUCGUGGUGCUCCGGGAGUAGGAGUCCUUGUUGCAUGCCACUCCGCGGACUCCGAUCCCGUCGCAACCGUUGUCGCCUACAAGGUCGGCUGCAUUCUAGGUCGCUUGCGCGUCGCUACAGGCCACCGGCGGCCCGGUGGAGCGAUCGUCCGCAUCUCCGGAGCGACCGUAGGUGGAGGCUCAGGUGGAGGCCACCCAACCCUCAGCUCUGGAGAAGCCAGCCUUGGGUGUGCAGCCACGUGCUACUGCACUAGUGGCUCAUAUGGUGGCGAUCCGCCACCCGGCUCAGGAGGAGCCGGCUUCAGGGCUGCACCCACGUGCUACCGCACGGGUGGCUAUCAACAUGUCGAGCACACUAACUUCUCACAAGCUAGGACCAGUUGGCUCACCUUUGGAUGUGCAGCCACAUGCCGCUACGCCGUUGGCCUCGUCGCUCGAGCCGGCGGUAGACACUGUCGGAGAGGGGUUUGCUACCUACCAUCACCCCCUCCUCCGAUAGGAGAGCCGGUGCCACGACCACCACUGGGGGUAAUACUUACACGCCGAAGUUGUCGACAUAUGGUUGCCGAUGAUGGUACUAUGGACACAUAUGAGGACUCCUUGGCCAAGGCUAUGCAGCGUAAAGCAACACAGAACCUCGAAAACCAAGCAAGUCUUAUGCCUCCCAUACUAAUGAGGAGGAGUUGCAUGCCACAUCAGAUGGCCAACUACUCUCUCAUUUAG
Molecule: ribosomal RNA, 4569 nt
Filed under: Triticum aestivum (bread wheat)
Lineage: Eukaryota; Viridiplantae; Streptophyta; Magnoliopsida; Poales; Poaceae
Description: partial small subunit ribosomal RNA
Source: RNAcentral